RNAcentral lists this ribosomal RNA (279 nucleotides) under uncultured Lachnospiraceae bacterium. Its description in RNAcentral is "partial 16S ribosomal RNA". It matches the Rfam family "Bacterial small subunit ribosomal RNA", at positions 64 to 339 of the family's 1533-position model. The record is from RNAcentral. Lineage: Bacteria; Bacillati; Bacillota; Clostridia; Lachnospirales; Lachnospiraceae.
UUACCUGAUUCUUCGGAUGAAGGUCUGGUGACUGAGUGGCGGACGGGUGAGUAACGCGUGGGUAACCUGCCUCAUACAGGGGGAUAACAGUUGGAAACGGCUGCUAAUACCGCAUAAGCGCACGAGAGGACAUCCUCUUGUGUGAAAAACUCCGGUGGUACAGGAUGGGCCCGCGUCUGAUUAGGUAGUUGGCGGGGUAACGGCCCACCAAGCCGACGAUCAGUAGCCGACCUGAGAGGGUGACCGGCCAGAUUGGGACUGAGACACGGCCCAGACUCC